This 689-nucleotide ribosomal RNA is filed under the name Streptomyces sp. RNAcentral describes it as "bacterial SSU rRNA". It matches the Rfam family "Bacterial small subunit ribosomal RNA", at positions 78 to 781 of the family's 1533-position model. The record is from RNAcentral. Lineage: Bacteria; Bacillati; Actinomycetota; Actinomycetes; Kitasatosporales; Streptomycetaceae.
CAUUCGGUGGGGAUUAGUGGCGAACGGGUGAGUAACACGUGGGCAAUCUGCCCUGCACUCUGGGACAAGCCCUGGAAACGGGGUCUAAUACCGGAUACUGAUCCGUCUGGGCAUCCAGACGGUUCGAAAGCUCCGGCGGUGCAGGAUGAGCCCGCGGCCUAUCAGCUUGUUGGUGAGGUAGUGGCUCACCAAGGCGACGACGGGUAGCCGGCCUGAGAGGGCGACCGGCCACACUGGGACUGAGACACGGCCCAGACUCCUACGGGAGGCAGCAGUGGGGAAUAUUGCACAAUGGGCGAAAGCCUGAUGCAGCGACGCCGCGUGAGGGAUGACGGCCUUCGGGUUGUAAACCUCUUUCAGCAGGGAAGAAGCGAAAGUGACGGUACCUGCAGAAGAAGCGCCGGCUAACUACGUGCCAGCAGCCGCGGUAAUACGUAGGGCGCGAGCGUUGUCCGGAAUUAUUGGGCGUAAAGAGCUCGUAGGCGGCUUGUCACGUCGGUUGUGAAAGCCCGGGGCUUAACCCCGGGUCUGCAGUCGAUACGGGCAGGCUAGAGUUCGGUAGGGGAGAUCGGAAUUCCUGGUGUAGCGGUGAAAUGCGCAGAUAUCAGGAGGAACACCGGUGGCGAAGGCGGAUCUCUGGGCCGAUACUGACGCUGAGGAGCGAAAGCGUGGGGAGCGAACAGGAUUAG